RNAcentral lists this ribosomal RNA (484 nucleotides) under uncultured bacterium. RNAcentral describes it as "partial 16S ribosomal RNA". It matches the Rfam family "Bacterial small subunit ribosomal RNA", at positions 30 to 507 of the family's 1533-position model. The record is from RNAcentral.
AUUGAACGCUGGCGGCAUGCCUAACACAUGCAAGUCGAGCGGAUGAAGGGAACUUUCCCCUGGAUUCAGCGGCGGACGGGUGAGUAAUGCCUAGGAAUCUUCCUGGUAGUGGGGGAUAACGUCCGGAAACGGGCGCUAAUACCGCAUACGACCUGAGGGAUAAAGUGGGUGAUCUUCGAACCUCACGCUAUCAGAUGAGCCUAGGUCGGAUUAGCUAGUUGGUGGGGUAAAGGCCUACCCAGGCGACGAUCCGUAACUGGUCGGAGAGGAUGAUCAGUCACACUGGAACUGAGACACGGUCCAGAAUCCUACGGGAGGCAGGAGUGGGGCAUAUUGGAGAAUGGGCGAAAGCCUGAUCCAGCGAGGCCGCGUGUGUGAAGAAGGUCUUCGGAUGGUAAAGCACUUUCAGGUGGGAGGCAGGGCAGUAAGUUAAUAACUUGCUGUUUUGACGUUACCAAGAGAAUAAGCACCGGCUAACUUCGUG